RNAcentral lists this long non-coding RNA (2047 nucleotides) under Homo sapiens (human). RNAcentral's name for it is "HSALNT0280037". Lineage: Eukaryota; Metazoa; Chordata; Mammalia; Primates; Hominidae. The record is from RNAcentral.
UCUCCCUUACGUUGAAACAGCUCUACAAUGUUGGUUGGCAUCAUUGUUAAAAUGUUACAGAUGGAGAGGUUGACAUUCAGAAAUGUUCAUGAGAGUCAAACAGGCUGGCACUUGGCAAAGAGGGAUCUCAAUCCAACCACUUUCCUCCACCUCCAGACUCAACACUUCCCAGUUGCCUGCUAUGUGUGACGAAUGCAGUCAUGUGGGAGAUCCGUCUGGCUACACUUAAGGAAUUUCCAGACAGGCUGCAACGCAGCUAAGUUUCUCUUAAAGGCUAUGGAAAACGUUUGCAUGUAUCUACAGAAAAAAAGGGGAGAAGGAGCAGGAAUAGGAGGAGGCAGAGAAAUUGAAGAAGAAAAAUUGGAAUUAGAAAAAAAUUAGAAUUACAAGAAGACAAAGAUGAUGAAGAAGAAUUAGAAAAAAAGAAAGAAAAGGAGUAGAAGGAGAAAAAUUGGAAUGAGUAGAGAAAGAGGAAAGGGAGAAAGAAGGAGAAGGAAGAGGAAGAAGGAAGAGGAAGAGGAGGAGGAGGAGGAAGAGGAUAAGUAACAUUAACUUAUGGCAAGAGAGAGCCAACUAAAACCAAGAAACAGUAUCGUAUUUCGAGCGAUAAUAAAAAAGAACUCCUUAAGGCAGGAGGUAAAGUCAUCCUUUUACCAAUGGACAGAGCCAAGCUUUGAGGCAGGGAAGACACAGACAGCAGAACUCCAAAGGAAUGGCUACGGAACCAAUCAGGAGUGACUGGAGUUGAGGCAUUAGCUGUGCUGCUGUGUCUCUAUCCAGUGGCUGGAGUCAUGGAUUAGGAGCGUGCCCUAACCCGUUGCAAGGAAUGACCAUCAGGAACAGACUUUUUGUUUUUAAAGACGGAGUUUCGCUCUUGUUACCCAGGCUGGAGUGCAACGUCGCGAUAUCAGCUCACUGCAACCUUCGUCUCCUGGGUUCAAGCAAUUCUCCUGCCUCAGCCUCCCGGGAGCAGUCUUUAGAGGACAAUGCUAGGUCCUCUCACAGGAGCCCCGAAGAUUCUCCUCUUGCCAAUGUGGCUGCUAAAAACCCGAUGCUUGUAGCUCAGAAACACUGCCGUGCCUUGGAACUUAGUUCCUCUCCACCCCCAGGGAGGACCCUUGACCGAUGAUUCACAGCUGCACGAAGUUGAGAGGGAUGGAUGGAAUCCAGCUCUUUUGCUUUGGGUGGGGCCAACUCUGAAGCCCAACUCACACUCCAGAGUCAGCCUCUGCAGGACUGUAUCUGAAACUACACCCUUGCUUGGUUUCCCUCACCUGCUUCACCCACUGCCUUACGGAGUUAUCCGCAUACUUCUUUGGUGUCUUUUUGUUUUUGUUUUUUGUUUUUGAGACGGGGUCUCGCUCUGUCGCCCGGGCUGGAGUGCAGGGGCGCAAUCUCGGCUCACUGCAACCUCUGCCUCCUGGGUUCAAGCGAUUCCUCUGUCUCAGCCUCCCGUAGCUGGGAUUACAUGCGUGUGCCAACACGCCCGGCUAAUUUUUGUAUUUUUAGUAGAGAUGGGGUUUCACCAUGUUGGCCAGGCUGGUCUUGGACUUCUGACCUCAAGUCAUCCGCCCCCCUCGGCCUCUCAAAGUGCUGGCAUUACAGGAGUGAGCCACCACGCCCAGCCAGCAUACUUCUUUGUUAAGUAACUUGCACACCAGUUCUCAUCUCAAGGCUAGCUUCUGGAAAUCUGAACUUUGGACAUACCCACAUAGCUCAUUCUUAUUAUUAUUAUCUUUUUUUUUUUUUUUUUGAGAUAGAGUUUUGCUCUGUCACCCAGGCUGGAGUGCAGUGGGGCCAUCUUGGCUCACCGCAACCUCCACCUCCCGGGUUCAAGCGAUUCUCCCGCCUCAGCCUCCUGAGUAGCUGGGAUUAGCAGAUUAAUUUUUAAGAAAUAAAAUCCACUUUCACAAAGAUUAUGUACGUCUUGAUUUUAAGAUUAUUAUUCAUUUAAAUUUUAUAGUUCCCUUUUUGUAUUUUGGAGGCAAUACUUUGUUCCAGGAUGUAAACAUUUUUAUAGGUGCUUGAAAUGCUUGUGUAAACACUG